RNAcentral lists this ribosomal RNA (867 nucleotides) under Trametes palisotii. RNAcentral's name for it is "partial large subunit ribosomal RNA". It matches the Rfam family "Eukaryotic large subunit ribosomal RNA", at positions 77 to 931 of the family's 3401-position model. Lineage: Eukaryota; Fungi; Basidiomycota; Agaricomycetes; Polyporales; Polyporaceae. The record is from RNAcentral.
CCCCUAGUAACUGCGAGUGAAGCGGGAAAAGCUCAAAUUUAAAAUCUGGCGGUCUUUGGCCGUCCGAGUUGUAGUCUGGAGAAGUGCUUUCCGCGCUGGACCGUGUACAAGUCUCUUGGAACAGAGCGUCAUAGAGGGUGAGAAUCCCGUCUUUGACACGGACUACCAGUGCUUUGUGAUGCGCUCUCAAAGAGUCGAGUUGUUUGGGAAUGCAGCUCAAAAUGGGUGGUGAAUUCCAUCUAAAGCUAAAUAUUGGCGAGAGACCGAUAGCGAACAAGUACCGUGAGGGAAAGAUGAAAAGCACUUUGGAAAGAGAGUUAAACAGUACGUGAAAUUGCUGAAAGGGAAACGCUUGAAGUCAGUCGCGUCGACCGGAACUCAGCCUUGCUUCGGCUUGGUGCAUUUUCCGGCUGACGGGCCAGCAUCGAUUUUGACCGUUGGAAAAGGGCUGGAGGAAUGUGGCACCUUCGGGUGUGUUAUAGCCUUCAGUCGCAUACAACGGUUGGGAUCGAGGAACGCAGCGCGCCUUAUGGCUGGGGUUCGCCCACAUUCGCGCUUAGGAUGCUGGCAUAAUGGCUUUAAACGACCCGUCUUGAAACACGGACCAAGGAGUCUAACAUACCUGCGAGUGUUUGGGUGGAAAACCCGAGCGCGUAAUGAAAGUGAAAGUUGAGACCUCUGUCGUGGAGGGCAUCGACGCCCGGACCUGACGUUCUCUGACGGAUCCGCGGUAGAGCAUGUAUGUUGGGACCCGAAAGAUGGUGAACUAUGCCUGAAUAGGGUGAAGCCAGAGGAAACUCUGGUGGAGGCUCGUAGCGAUUCUGACGUGCAAAUCGAUCGUCAAAUUUGGGUAUAGGGGCGAAAGAC